This 468-nucleotide ribosomal RNA is filed under the name uncultured bacterium. Its description in RNAcentral is "partial 16S ribosomal RNA". It matches the Rfam family "Bacterial small subunit ribosomal RNA", at positions 28 to 507 of the family's 1533-position model. The record is from RNAcentral.
GACGAACGCUGGCGGCGUGCUUAACACAUGCAAGUCGAACGGAAAGGCCCUGCUUUUGUGGGGUGCUCGAGUGGCGAACGGGUGAGUAACACGUGAGUAACCUGCCCUUGACUUUGGGAUAACUUCAGGAAACUGGGGCUAAUACCGGAUAGGAGCUCCUGCUGCAUGGUGGGGGUUGGAAAGUUUCGGCGGUUGGGGAUGGACUCGCGGCUUAUCAGCUUGUUGGUGGGGUAGUGGCUUACCAAGGCUUUGACGGGUAGCCGGCCUGAGAGGGUGACCGGCCACAUUGGGACUGAGAUACGGCGCAGACUCCUACGGGAGGCAGCAGGGGGGAAUAUUGCACAGUGGGCGGAAGCCUGAUGCAGCAACGCCGCGUGCGGGAUGACGGCCUUCGGGUUGUAAACCGCUUUCGCCUGUGACGAAGCGUGAGUGACGGUAAUGGGUAAAGAAGCACCGGCUAACUACGUG